RNAcentral lists this long non-coding RNA (595 nucleotides) under Equus caballus (horse). Its description in RNAcentral is "lncRNA (ENSECAG00000051430.1)". The record is from RNAcentral. Lineage: Eukaryota; Metazoa; Chordata; Mammalia; Perissodactyla; Equidae.
CCUCACUUGGGACAUGCGACGAGGCCCCAUCUUCUGCCCGGGCCCGGGGGACAUGAGACAGGACACAAGCACCUGGACUCGUCCAGACUCCCCAGAGACACCCCUCCCCACAAGCAGCUGGGCCCCCACCCACAGCUCAUUGCUGGUCCAGAACCUGGUCUCCCACACAGGAGAGAAGCAAAGGCCCAGUGGGAGAGGAUGCACAGGUCUCGGGCACAAAGCUGUAGAGGCUUUGGGGAACUUUCCAUCUGCGACUGUCAUCAACAGUGCUGCAGGCACAUUCUGCUACCCAGCUGGUGACCAGGUGCAUUUCUGUUGGACAUGCACCUAGAAGUGGUGUCGCUGGUCAAGGACAGCUUGGGACCAGCUUCAGUGGUCAGGGCCACGUGGUUUUCCAAAGUUCCAACACACCAUCUCACCAGCCAGCAAAGACCAGCUGCUCCACGUUCCCACCAAUCUGGGUGUUUUCCAGCAUUGCCACGGAAGCCGUUGGGCCAGGCGUGCAGGGCAUCGACCUGCAUUUCAAUUUGUGUUUGCAUUUUCCUGGUGACGAGUGAAGAUAAGCACCUUCUCAUGUGUUUAUUGGAUUCUGGGU